CAGUAGGCCACGGCUGCCCCAAUGUGUAGGCUUCAUGUAGGCUGCCCUGUUAAUUCUGCUGUAUGCACAUCCACUCCUCCAAUGAUUUUAUGAUCUUUUCCCUUUUUAAACGGGUCUCAGAUCAUGUUAGGAAAAAUGUAUUCAUAAUUCUCCGGAGCCCCUCUACCUGUGCCUCUCUGGCAGUCAUUAUCAAACAUGGGUUUGGUUGAUUACCCAAUCACCCUGCAGAUGGGAAAGGCAGUCUUAUUGCUUGUUGCCUAGCCUACAAUAAGUUAACUUGAGUAUUAUAGUACCUUCAUAUCUGAGUUGUACUUACCACUGUGGUUACCACAAAUUCACCACUGACUACACUUCAGUAUCCCAGUUAUUAGGCUUAUCCUUUCUGGAAUAUCAUGGGAUUUUGGAAAGUCUAUUCCAGACAUGAAACAUGGGAUUUUAUCAUUUUGCGGGUAAAGUCAUGGAAUAUCAGGGAAUUUUGUUGUAGCAGCUCAAAAUAUACUUGCCAAAAUGCA
Molecule: long non-coding RNA, 512 nt
Organism: Alosa sapidissima (American shad)
Lineage: Eukaryota; Metazoa; Chordata; Actinopteri; Clupeiformes; Clupeidae
Exons: 2
Source: RefSeq, a predicted model, not a curated record